UUACUGGGCGUAAAGCGCACGCAGGCGGUCUGUCAAGUCGGAUGUGAAAUCCCCGGGCUCAACCUGGGAACUGCAUUCGAAACUGGCAGGCUUGAGUCUUGUAGAGGGGGGUAGAAUUCCAGGUGUAGCGGUGAAAUGCGUAGAGAUCUGGAGGAAUACCGGUGGCGAAGGCGGCCCCCUGGACAAAGACUGACGCUCAGGUGCGAAAGCGUGGGGAGCAAACAGGAUUAGAUACCCUGGUAGUCCACGCCGUAAACGAUGUCUACUUGGAGGUUGUGCCCUUGAGGCGUGGCUUCCGGAGCUAACGCGUUAAGUAGACCGCCUGGGGAGUACGGCCGCAAGGUUAAAACUCAAAUGAAUUGACGGGGGCCCGCACAAGCGGUGGAGCAUGUGGUUUAAUUCGAUGCAACGCGAAGAACCUUACCUGGUCUUGACAUCCACAGAACUUUCCAGAGAUGGAUUGGUGCCUUCGGGAACUGUGAGACAGGUGCUGCAUGGCUGUCGUCAGCUCGUGUUGUGAAAUGUUGGGUUAAGUCCCGCAACGAGCGCAACCCUUAUCCUUUGUUGCCAGCGGUCCGGCCGGGAACUCAAAGGAGACUGCCAGUGAUAAACUGGAGGAAGGUGGGGAUGACGUCAAGUCAUCAUGGCCCUUACGACCAGGGCUACACACGUGCUACAAUGGCGCAUACAAAGAGAAGCGACCUCGCGAGAGCAAGCGGACCUCAUAAAGUGCGUCGUAGUCCGGAUUGGAGUCUGCAACUCGACUCCAUGAAGUCGGAAUCGCUAGUAAUCGUGGAUCAGAAUGCCACGGUGAAUACGUUCCCGGGCCUUGUACACACCGCCCGUCACACCAUGGGAGUGGGUUGCAAAAGAAGUAGGUAGCUUAACCUUCGGGAGGGCGCUUACCACUUUGUGAUUCAUGACUGGGGUGAAGUCGUAACAAGGUAACCGUAGGGGAACCUGC
RNAcentral lists this ribosomal RNA (964 nucleotides) under Salmonella enterica. RNAcentral describes it as "bacterial SSU rRNA". It matches the Rfam family "Bacterial small subunit ribosomal RNA", at positions 551 to 1515 of the family's 1533-position model. The record is from RNAcentral. Lineage: Bacteria; Pseudomonadati; Pseudomonadota; Gammaproteobacteria; Enterobacterales; Enterobacteriaceae.